GUUCACUUCUCACCAUGAUUUUAUAGAUUUGUAUUCAUUAUAAUUUGAUGUAUAAAAAUUUCAUGACUUUUUUCAAAUAAACUGUUUUAGUCAGCCUUUUCACUGCUGUGACUAAAAGACCCAACCAGAACAGCUGUAGAGGAGGAAAAAUUUACGUGGGGGUCAAGUUUCAGAGGUCUCAAUCCGUAGGCAGCAGGCUCCAUUCCUAGGGGCUCAAGGUGAGGCAGAACAUCAUGUGGAAGACAGUGGUGGAGGGAAGUGGCUCUCAUGAUAAUAAGGAAGCAGAGAGAGAGACUCCACUUGCCAGAUACAAAAUAUAUACCCCUGUCGAGAGCCAUCCGUGUGUGGACCACAUCGGCAUCACAGCCUAAUGAAUAGGAGAAUCUGGUGUCUGGGAAGUUCCAGGGGACAUUUCCUCUGGCGGACUGCCCAGAGACAUUGUGAACCCUAUUCAGGCUGUGCCCCAGGUCCCACACAGCCCCUCUGAGAAGGGGGUGACCUGCCAAGAUGCCAGUCAGCCUGCUGACUGCAAGACACCAUGAAGCAAGGUUCCACCCCUGAAACCUUAUUCCUGCCUUUGAUGUACCCCCUUAAAUAAACCACCGCAGCCAGUUUCUAGUUGUUCAGCUCCAGCUUCUGUGUGGAAUUACAAGUGUUUCCAGGAAGAAGAAACAGAAUGUACAGUGUGAUGGCAGGGAGCGCACAGGUAACCAAAGGAGGUCCAGGAUGGCUGGAUCCUAAAGGAAGUCAAGGACGGCUAGCUCCUAAAUUGGACUUCUGUACAAGUCAGAUUGUACAGAAGGAAUGUUGCAGAUAUAGGCAGAUGAUUUGUACAGGGACUUAUUUUUAUGUUUGGAUCCUGAAAUUUUUCUUACUGAAAAUGGAAAAUUGCUGCAGGUUGGACUGAGGUAUGUCAUGGUCAGAGAUGGGUUAUGUGUGUUAUGUGAAUUAUGGAUUCAAAGGCCUUCUCCCUCAUGUGCUUUACAUGAGGUGAAUUCUGCUUGCUUUAUUGGGGCCCUCUGCUUCCUCUGCCUCUCCAUCCACCUCAUCCUUUUAGUGCAUACAAAGAGAACAAUUGUGGUCAAACUGAGCUGGAGAGGAGCCCUGGCUUGACCCUUUGAGGUGAUCUCACUGGGUUCUCACCUACUCUCUUUCUUCUGCUCAGAACCUUGUCAAGACCUUUUCCC
This 1187-nucleotide long non-coding RNA is filed under the name Marmota monax (woodchuck). Lineage: Eukaryota; Metazoa; Chordata; Mammalia; Rodentia; Sciuridae. The record is from RNAcentral.